GAGCAGCCCCUGAAGGCAUCAGGAGCGCAGAGCGUCUGUGCGAGGUGGAUGAGGAGAUUAUCCUCCUCUAGUGACUCCACUGAGACUCUACUGAGUGUUAACACGGAUCCUAACAGACAGCAGCUGCUUUGUGACACAACAUGGGAAACGCCAACACCAAACUUCACUUCAGGAAAGCUGUGAUUCAACUCACAACCAAAACACAGCCCGUAGAAGCCACAGACGAUGUCUUCUGGGAUCAGUUCUGGGCCGACACCUGCACCACCGUCCAGGACGUCUUCGCUCUGGUGCCGGCGGCAGAGAUCAGAGCCGUCAGAGAGGAGUCUCCGUCCAACCUGGCAACCCUCUGCUACAAGGCGGUGGAGCGGUUGGUCCAGAGUGCCGACACCGGCUGCCCCUCAGAGAGAGAGCGUCAGAUCGUCCUGAACUGCACCCGCCUGCUCACCCGCAUCCUGCCCUACAUCUUUGAGGACGCCGACUGGAGAGGCUUCUUCUGGUCCACAGUGCCCGGAGCCGGAAGAUCGGGGCAUCUGGACGAAGACGGCGUUGAUGAUGAAGCGCGGCCGCUGGCUGAAUCCCUGCUGCUCGCCAUCGCUGACCUGCUCUUCUGUCCAGAUUUCACCGCUCAGAGCCACAAGAGGAGCAGCCCGGAUCCAGCCGAGGACAUUCGAACCAUAGACAGCUGUGAGUACAUCUGGGAGGCCGGCGUGGGCUUCGCUCAGUCACCUCCUCUAAACUACGUCCACGACCUCAACAGGACGGAGCUGCUGAAGUUGCUCCUCACCUGUCUGUCUGAGGCCAUGUACCUUCCUCCGUCCUCUGAGAGCAGGAACUUCAAUCCCUGGGUCUCCUUCUUCUGCUCCACAGAAAACAGACACGCCCUGCCUCUGUUCACCUCCCUGCUCAACGUGGUGUGUGCCUACGACGCCGUCGGGUACGGCAUCCCGUACAACCACCUGCUGUUCUCCGACCACCGGGAGCAGCUGGUGGAGCAGGCGGUCCAGAUCCUUAUCGUCACCCUGGAGUAUGAGGCCGCGUCGGCCGCCAGCGCCGCCCUCCAGGCCCUGGACACCUCCGCAUCCCCCUCAGCUGUGGAGGAGCAGGAGGCAGCCGGACCUGAUAACCUCUUUGUGAAUUAUCUCUCCAGGAUACACAGAGAAGAGGACUUGAGCUUCAUCCUGAAAGGUCUGGGUCGGCUGAUGAACAAUCCUCUGGUCCAGACUUACCUGCCUCACUCCGCCAAGAAGAUCCAGUUCCACCAGGAGCUGCUGAUCCUCUUCUGGAAGUUCUGUGACUUCAACAAGAAAUUCCUGUUCUUCGUGCUGAAGAGCAGCGACGUGUUGGACGUGCUGGUUCCCAUCCUCUUCAGCCUGGACGAUGCCAGAGCGGACCAGUCACGUGUGGGUCUCAUGCACAUCGGCGUGUUCAUCCUCCUGCUGUUGAGUGGAGAGAGGAACUUCGGCGUCCGUCUGAACAAACCGUACACUCUCCGCGUCCCGAUGGACAUUCCUGUUUUCACAGGAACCCACGCUGACCUGCUCAUUGUGAUCUUCCAUAAGAUCAUCACCAGUGGACACCAGCGGCUCCAGCCUCUGUUUGACUGCCUGCUCACAAUAAUAGUGAACAUUUCACCUUAUCUGAAGAGCCUCUCCAUGGUGGCGUCCAACAAGCUGCUCCACCUCCUGGAGGCCUUCUCUUCACCCUGGUUCCUCCUCUCCUCCCCCCAGAACCACCACCUGGUCUUCUUCCUGCUGGAGGUCUUCAACAACAUCAUCCAGUAUCAGUUUGAUGGUAACUGCAACCUGGUGUACGCCAUCAUCAGGAAGCGUAACGUCUUCCACCAGUUGGCCAACCUGCCAUCCGACACGGCGUCUAUUCAGAGGGUACUGCAGAAGAAGAAGAAGUCUGGGAUUUCCAGGGCCAACUCUAAAGAGACAGAGUCCAAGGAGGGCUCCAGAACUGCUGGACCUGCUGAGCCGGGCACACUCAAAGCCAGCUUAGAGGCCACUCCAGGAAUCGAUAAGAUAACAGAGAGGUCCCAGGUGAGCCUGGACGGUACCAUGGUGGCUGUGCCUUAUCCAGACUCUCCACGGACGACUGCUGACAGCAGCGCCGGAGCCGGAGCCAGCGACACCGAGUCCAACUCCGAGAGAGACCACGAGGUCUACCACACCGAGUCCGAGGCAGCGAGGAGUCGGUUGUCGAGUGCGUCAUCAGCAGUAGCAGCAGCCUGGAGCGCUAACACAGACUGGGUGUUGUCAUGGAAGGCGAAACUUCCUCUACAGACCAUCAUGCGGCUGUUACAAGUCCUGGUCCCUCAGGUGGAGAAGAUUUGCAUCGACAAGGGUUUGACAGACGAGUCAGAAAUCCUGAAGUUCCUUCAGCACGGCACGCUGGUCGGCCUCCUGCCCGUCCCUCAUCCCAUCCUCAUCAGGAAGUACCAAGCCAACGCCGGCACGGCCAUGUGGUUCCGCACCUACAUGUGGGGAGUCAUCUACUUACGGUGAACGAGCUGAACACGAGCUUCUCUAUGAAACCUGUUGGAUCCAGAUAAAAAUGACAAAGGAGCAGUAGUAGAUAGUAGUACAACGUGGAUCCUCCAAUCUGGUACGACACGGACAUCCGGCUCUUUGAGAUCCAGAGGAUUUAGAGCAGCUGUUGACUUUGUUCUUUUCACCAACAACGAGAUCUGCAGGUUUUUUUUCCUCACACCUGAACUGUUGAUCGGAGGAACUUUUCACACCUUUCUGGUGUUAUUUAAAGAAAACAAGCAGCAAUAAUCUCGUUCUUCAUUCUUCCUGACAACUUUCAGGGUUCAGACACAAAAAAAGGAAGAAUGUCUAAAUGUGUCAAAACAUUAGUUACCGUGUAUCACAUACAACCUGUACGACGAGCAAUGCCAAACGGUCAUUAAAUUUGACUUCAUCUUGAAA
This is an RNA transcript of Sebastes umbrosus (honeycomb rockfish), 2933 nucleotides long. It is a transcript of the gene named protein HID1-like, with no coding region annotated. The record is from RefSeq and is a predicted model, not a curated record. NCBI's taxonomy places the organism in Eukaryota, Metazoa, Chordata, Actinopteri, Perciformes, Sebastidae. The transcript is spliced from 19 exons.